This is a non-coding RNA of Miniopterus natalensis, 335 nucleotides long. The record is from RefSeq and is a predicted model, not a curated record. Lineage: Eukaryota; Metazoa; Chordata; Mammalia; Chiroptera; Miniopteridae.
AAACCUAGGAACAAAAGUCACACAGAUUAUUGGGAUCCUAUUGCUCCAGCACUCCCGUUUCCUACGCUGCUUUCCGGGACAAGUUGGGGGAGAUUUUCACUGACCAAACCAUAACUGAGCAACAGAAUGGAUUCUGCAGUCAUUUCCUGAUUUACGAUGAAUCCUGCAAUGAUUCGGCGUAAGGUCUCAUGAACUUUCCGGGCCAGUUUUAAACUCGUGGUAUUUUGUAAGAUCUGAAGGCAAACACAAAUGUCAUGCUCAGGUAAACACAGAAUUGCAUUUGGAUUUGUUGUAAUGGUAGCUCUUAAAUAUAUAUAUAUAUGUAUAUACACACA